RNAcentral lists this transfer RNA (52 nucleotides) under Acinetobacter baumannii PR07. Its description in RNAcentral is "tRNA-Ser". It matches the Rfam family "tRNA", at positions 24 to 71 of the family's 71-position model. From Rfam's summary of the family: Transfer RNA (tRNA) molecules are approximately 80 nucleotides in length. Their secondary structure includes four short double-helical elements and three loops (D, anti-codon, and T loops). Further hydrogen bonds mediate the characteristic L-shaped molecular structure. tRNAs have two regions of fundamental functional importance: the anti-codon, which is responsible for specific mRNA codon recognition, and the 3' end, to which the tRNAs corresponding amino acid is attached (by aminoacyl-tRNA synthetases). tRNAs cope with the degeneracy of the genetic code in two manners: having more than one tRNA (with a specific anti-codon) for a particular amino acid; and 'wobble' base-pairing, i.e. permitting non-standard base-pairing at the 3rd anti-codon position. Lineage: Bacteria; Pseudomonadati; Pseudomonadota; Gammaproteobacteria; Moraxellales; Moraxellaceae. The record is from RNAcentral.
CACUUGGCUACGAACUAAGGGGUCGGGAGUUCGAAUCUCUCUGAGCGCACCA